This 205-nucleotide long non-coding RNA is filed under the name Capsella rubella. RNAcentral describes it as "long non-coding RNA (CRUB_LNC001982)". Lineage: Eukaryota; Viridiplantae; Streptophyta; Magnoliopsida; Brassicales; Brassicaceae. The record is from RNAcentral.
GAUCGUGUAUAACAUUCAAGCGUAUAAUGAAUGAAUCAUGUGCUGCAAAUGAGAGACUAACAAACACAAUCUAUAUAACAAGCACAUCAUCACAUUGAUGAGAGUUUUUAAUAACAAGUCUAUCUAUCUAUCUAUCUAAAAACCCAUCACAUUUAUGGGUACGUUGAUAUGGAAUUUUCUAAGUAGGUGUGAAAUCUAAAUGAGC